This 1050-nucleotide long non-coding RNA is filed under the name Equus asinus (donkey). Its description in RNAcentral is "lncRNA (ENSEASG00005023684.1)". Lineage: Eukaryota; Metazoa; Chordata; Mammalia; Perissodactyla; Equidae. The record is from RNAcentral.
AAGUCUAUUCUGGCAUACAUAGACAAAUUCAGAUUAUAAGACAACUAAUCUAGAUUUUCAACAAGUCAAUGUCAGGAAGAGAAAAAAACAGUAGUAGUAUUGGAGAAGUGGGACUGCUCUAGCUAAAAAGAUGUUUAAGAGACAGAAGAACCAAAGGCAAUGUGUAGACUUUGGACCCUGAUCAAGCAAACUAACCAUACAAAGACAUUUCUGAGACAACUACGGAAAUGUAAAUAAGGACUAGAUAUUGGAUGACAUCAAUGAAUGAUUGAUCAUUUCAGCGGAAUAAUGACAUUAGGAAGAUAAAAGAAAAAGUUGCAAACUUAAGUAUGCUUUAGGGACGCAAACUAAAGUAUGUCAAAAUGCAAUGAGAGAAACUUAGGGUUUGCUGGGGGAAAAAAAUCAGUGUAUCUCUUACUUUCCAAUCCCAAAUAAAUAAAUACAAAUAUAAAACUGUGAAUUGAGAAAAUUGAGUUACUGUGAUUAGACUUUUCAGAAUUUGGUCAAAAAACGACUAAAAGAGAGAACACAAUGAAUGCCCUGAUUCAAUCAUAAAUCAAAAUAAAGUGCUGUCGGCAUAAAAACUGAAGGACGUGAGACUAUCCACACAGGGAAGGCCUAGGCGGCGGGAGGGGAGUGGGCGGCGGGGCAUCACUCUGACCGCACCAUGUAGGACAACCCUGACCUCCGCCCCUUGAGGGAUUUCCUUAGGGCCGCACACAGGGUAUUUCAGAACCAGGACUCCAACCAGAGGCUCUGACUUAGUCUAGGGCUCUUGGUGUCCGCUUUUCAACGCGACAGAAUCCUCUGGAGAACCUAAUCUAUGCUUUUUGCUUUAGAUUUUUUCACUUUCCCGUGUCAGUUAUUCUAAAGUUCAUUCCAUCCUUAAAUAAUCCACCAGAUUAGAAUACUUCAUUUAACGUGCUCAGGCUUAUCUCAGCUGUUUCUCAAAGUGAGAUUUGAUAGAAGAUAAACAAGAACAUGGAAAACAAAUCUGAGCAGCGACCCCGUGAAAACCACCCUAAGCUCUCGGAGCGCAGCGUCCCCCAC